RNAcentral lists this ribosomal RNA (450 nucleotides) under uncultured bacterium. RNAcentral's name for it is "partial 16S ribosomal RNA". It matches the Rfam family "Bacterial small subunit ribosomal RNA", at positions 354 to 796 of the family's 1533-position model. The record is from RNAcentral.
GUGGGGAAUAUUGGACAAUGGGCGAAAGCCUGAUCCAGCCAUGCCGCGUGUGUGAAGAAGGUCUUCGGAUUGUAAAGCACUUUAAGUUGGGAGGAAGGGCAGUAAGUUAAUACCUUGCUGUUUUGACGUUACCAACAGAAUAAGCACCGGCUAACUUCGUGCCAGCAGCCGCGGUAAUACGAAGGGUGCAAGCGUUAAUCGGAAUUACUGGGCGUAAAGCGCGCGUAGGUGGUUUGGUAAGAUGGAUGUGAAAUCCCCGGGCUCAACCUGGGAACUGCAUCCAUAACUGCCUGACUAGAGUACGGUAGAGGGUGGUGGAAUUUCCUGUGUAGCGGUGAAAUGCGUAGAUAUAGGAAGGAACACCAGUGGCGAAGGCGACCACCUGGACUGAUACUGACACUGAGGUGCGAAAGCGUGGGGAGCAAACAGGAUUAGAAACCCCGGUAGUCC